AUCUUCCUCGUGGACAAGCGGUAG
This 24-nucleotide microRNA is filed under the name Brachypodium distachyon (stiff brome). Its description in RNAcentral is "bdi-miR7751-5p". Lineage: Eukaryota; Viridiplantae; Streptophyta; Magnoliopsida; Poales; Poaceae. The record is from miRBase by way of RNAcentral.